UCCCUGUAAUAUUUUAAAUUAUUUCCUUAACUAUUUCUGGAACUAACAUUUGGGUUGUUGCUUGCCCAAGAGUAUUCUAUUGUGCGCUCUAGUGACAAUGAGCAGAUUAGGCUUGCUGGUACUUGCUUCUAUCUCAAAUAGAUGAGUGUCAUUGUAAGGGCUGAGUUUCUGACACAAUAUUUACAAUUAUAACCUCAAAAGUUGGUUUCUGUGCAUUUGCUUGAAUAAUCAAUUAGGAUUCUUUGUUCUGGUUUCAGUCAGUAAAUUUGCUCCUUAGAGCGUUUUUAUGUAACCACUUUUUGAUUGAGACAUCUGUGGAAAAAUAACAGGGAAAGGUUAAGUUAAACCCAAUAUUAAAUUAAAAAAAAAAUGUCAGAUUUUGAGGCAUUAGAAUUGUGCUUGGUGUGAAAUAUUUUAGGUCUUAAUUCACCAGUUCAUCUUCAUUCUAGAAACACUUCAGUUUGGGGACUACAGAGAGAUUUUAAUUUAGGUGUGUUCCUCUACCCUGUAGAAUCAGCCCAGUGUUAUUUUGCUCACCUGGAGAUCUACCUCCUGUAAUAGAAGGAGGCCAAGUUUGUUUUAAAACCUGAAUAUUAAUGUGUUACCAUAUUUCUUAGAGGAAGUUUGAUUUAAUCUGAAAGCCUAAAUGCUUCGAAUUGGAUAUGCCCACAUCCCAGCUGCACACAUUCCUGGCAGCGAAGAGAAUGAGAUGAAGCAAAGAUUUCUCAGAUGUUGGCACGCCAGGAAUUAUUUCAUCAACUCCUGAAAUGCAAAACCCAUGGCAAGACAGAAAAGGCAGUCUUGUGAUUGCACCUCUGACCUAAAGGACAAGCUUUUUCCAAGUAUGAUUUCAUUCAGGUAGUGAGAGCAAGACCUGGAUUAAGAAACAAAAAUAUUGGCCUUAGGCAAGCAGGUGAGCUCAGUUUUUUCUGUUUUCCCCCUGGCUUUGUGAUCAUACCAUGCACAUGAUCAGACUGUCUGCCUUCCCCAACCAGAGCAUUCCUCAACAAAUCCAAGAGCUCUUGAACUCAGCAGACUUUCCAAACUUUCUCCAUGUUCAUAUAGCUUAAGUCAGG
This 1076-nucleotide long non-coding RNA is filed under the name Chloebia gouldiae (Gouldian finch). RNAcentral describes it as "Erythrura gouldiae (Gouldian finch) lncRNA (ENSEGOG00005002531.1)". The record is from RNAcentral. Lineage: Eukaryota; Metazoa; Chordata; Aves; Passeriformes; Passeridae.